UACGGAGGUUGCGAGCGUUGUUCGGAAUAACUGGGCGUAAAGGGAGCGCAGGCGGUUGGGUAAGUCUAAAGUGAAAGCCCGGGGCUCAACUCCGGAAGUGCUUUGGAUACUACCUCACUCGAGUUCGUGAGAGGAAAGCGGAAUUCCAGGUGUAGCGGUGAAAUGCGUAGAUAUCUGGAGGAACACCGGUGGCGAAAGCGGCUUUCUGGCACGAUACUGACGCUGAGGCUCGAAAGCGUGGGGAGCAAACAGG
This 253-nucleotide ribosomal RNA is filed under the name uncultured bacterium. Its description in RNAcentral is "partial 16S ribosomal RNA". It matches the Rfam family "Bacterial small subunit ribosomal RNA", at positions 524 to 776 of the family's 1533-position model. The record is from RNAcentral.